RNAcentral lists this ribosomal RNA (253 nucleotides) under uncultured bacterium. RNAcentral describes it as "partial 16S ribosomal RNA". It matches the Rfam family "Bacterial small subunit ribosomal RNA", at positions 524 to 776 of the family's 1533-position model. The record is from RNAcentral.
UACGGAGGGUGCAAGCGUUAUCCGGAUUUACUGGGUUUAAAGGGUGCGUAGGCGGGUUGGUAAGUCAGUGGUGAAAUACUUUCGCUUAACGAAGGAACUGCCAUUGAUACUAUCAAUCUUGAAUGUAGUGGAGGUAGGCGGAAUGCGGCAUGUAGCGGUGAAAUGUUUAGAUAUGACGCAGAACACCAAUUGCGAAGGCAGCUUGCUACACUACUAUUGACACUGAGGCACGAAAGCGUGGGGAUCAAACAGG